RNAcentral lists this ribosomal RNA (497 nucleotides) under uncultured bacterium. Its description in RNAcentral is "partial 16S ribosomal RNA". It matches the Rfam family "Bacterial small subunit ribosomal RNA", at positions 28 to 507 of the family's 1533-position model. The record is from RNAcentral.
GAUGAACGCUGGCGGCGUGCCUAAUACAUGCAAGUCGAGCGAACGGACGAGAAGCUUGCUUCUCUGAUGUUAGCGGCGGACGGGUGAGUAAAACGUGGAUAACCUACCUAUAAGACUGGGAUAACUUCGGGAAACCGGAGCUAAUACCGGAUAAUAUUUUGAACCGCAUGGUUCAAAAGUGAAAGACGGUCUUGCUGUCACUUAUAGAUGGAUCCGCGCUGCAUUAGCUAGUUGGUAAGGCAACGGCUUACCAAGGCAACGAUGCAUAGCCGACCUGAGAGGGUGAUCGGCCACACUGGAACUGAGACACGGUCCAGACUCCUACGGGAGGCAGCAGUAGGGAAUCUUCCGCAAUGGGCGAAAGCCUGACGGAUCAACGCCGCGUGAGUGAUGAAGGUCUUCGGAUCGUAAAACUCUGUUAUUAGGGAAGAACAUAUGUGUAAGUAACUGUGCACAUCUUGACGGUACCUAAUCAGAAAGCCACGGCUAACUACGUG